CUGAUCUACCAGUACAAAAGCUGGUAUAUACCCAUAAGACGAGAAGACCCUGCGGAGCUUUAAGUUUCAGUGCUACACCAACCAAACUAAGCCUAUUAGGACCCACACUAACCACAUAGCACUACACUUUAAGUUGGGGCAACUGCGGAGAAAAACAAAACCUCCAUGAAAACAGGCCGCAAGCCACCAUAAAACACACUAGUUACCUGGUAAAAAAAUUGACCCAGCAAUGCUGAUCACCGAACCAAGUUACCCCAGGGAUAACAGCGCCAUCCCCUUCAAGAGUUCAUAUCGCCAGGGGGGCUUACGACCUCGAUGUUGGAUCAGGACACCCAGAUGGUGUAGUCGCUAUCAAUGGUUCGUUUGUUCAACGAUUAAUGUCCUACGUGAU
RNAcentral lists this ribosomal RNA (391 nucleotides) under Afroedura bogerti (Bogert's rock gecko). RNAcentral describes it as "partial 16S ribosomal RNA". It matches the Rfam family "Bacterial large subunit ribosomal RNA", at positions 2042 to 2604 of the family's 2925-position model. The record is from RNAcentral. Lineage: Eukaryota; Metazoa; Chordata; Lepidosauria; Squamata; Gekkonidae.